UAACUCCAUAAAGCUGUCUUAAAAGAAUUCUUUGCAUGUUUUGGAUACAAGUCUUGUAUUGCACAUGUAUUCUGUAAAUAUUUCUCUGAGAAUGUGGCUUGUCUUUUCAUUCUUUCACCAGAGUCUUUCACAAACAAGCCUCUUCUGGUUCGGGCACUGUCAGGGAGAUGGGGAAUCAGUGGGGUGUCAUGGAAUCUGCUCCCUGGCCCGGUUAAGCCUGAUGGAGAGAGUGUCUGCUGGCAGGAGUUCAGGGACUGUUGUCCAAGGGACACUGGGAGGCAUGGAGACCAAAGCUGUUCCACCUUUAUCCCAACAUGUAUUUCCCUGCCAGGACCUUGGUGACAUGGACCUCAGAAAAUGAAUCUGAAACUAUGAAUACUGGGCUCCUCUACUGUUUUUAAAAAGCAAUAAUGACACCUCAACUUGAUGAGAAUCCUGAAGAGCAGCUGUCCCUCCUCUCAGAAGUGCUGGAACUGUAAGAAAGAUCUACCCAAAGAUAGGCUUCACUUUGAAAGUAUGACUCACAGAGAAUUCUCUACGUACUCUUCACACAAAGAAUUCCAAAAUUUUUCUUCAUCAAACCCAGAGUCACCAGUUCAUAAAUCCCCUGUGCUGGACACCAGCUUUGCAAGGUUGUGCAACACUGAGGUCCCUGAUCAUUUCGCAGGAAACUGCCUGCCCUGGAGACUGAGCACUUUCACCAAACACCAUUAGGCAGGCGACUGUUCGCUGGCUUGGUAAAGACUGUGAUCAUCUCUUCUUGGCCCUGGGGACCCCAGGGAGGCCCAGGCACUGAAUGAUGACAUCAUCUUUGUUAAUGACCGCUGUGGCUUUUAAUAACAGAUCACUUCUCUCUACAAGGCUAAGUGUUUCUCUUGGCUAACUGCCACCAACUUCUUUUGUAUUUGAGGAAAAAAUUAUGGCUGUUUAGCAACUGGUAAUUUCAGGGAUUUAAAAAAAAAUACUUCUAGAAGCUUCUUUUCAUCCUGAAGCUAACGUUAAGGCAACUUCAGAUUUACAAGUUUAUAAAGCAGAAAUGCAGGCACUUUAGCUGUACCAUGGCCUCUGAAAUAGGAUUGGCACAAGAUGAUUCGCUAGCCGGUGGGAAAGAAGUAUUAGAAUUUAUAUUUCUCUACAAAAGAAAUAAAC
RNAcentral lists this long non-coding RNA (1149 nucleotides) under Ursus maritimus (polar bear). Its description in RNAcentral is "lncRNA (ENSUMAG00000024047.1)". The record is from RNAcentral. Lineage: Eukaryota; Metazoa; Chordata; Mammalia; Carnivora; Ursidae.